RNAcentral lists this ribosomal RNA (594 nucleotides) under uncultured bacterium. Its description in RNAcentral is "bacterial SSU rRNA". It matches the Rfam family "Bacterial small subunit ribosomal RNA", at positions 112 to 704 of the family's 1533-position model. The record is from RNAcentral.
AACACGUACACAACCUUCCUAUAAGUGGGGAAUAGCCCAGAGAAAUUUGGAUUAAUACCCCGUAACAUAAUGAUGUGGCAUCACAUUAUUAUUAUAGCUUCGGCGCUUAUUGAUGGGUGUGCGGCUGAUUAGAUAGUUGGCGGGGUAACGGCCCACCAAGUCUACGAUCAGUAGCUGAUGUGAGAGCAUGAUCAGCCACACGGGCACUGAGACACGGGCCCGACUCCUACGGGAGGCAGCAGUAAGGAAUAUUGGUCAAUGGACGCAAGUCUGAACCGGCCAUGCCGCGUGAAGGAUUAAGGUCCUCUGGAUUGUAAACUUCUUUUAUCUGGGACGAAAAAAGGCUAUUCUUAGUCACUUGACGGUACCAGAUGAAUAAGCACCGGCUAACUCCGUGCCAGCAGCCGCGGUAAUACGGAGGGUGCAAGCGUUAUCCGGAUUCACUGGGUUUAAAGGGUGCGUAGGCGGGCAGGUAAGUCAGUGGUGAAAUCCUGGAGCUUAACUCCAGAACUGCCAUUGAUACUAUCUGUCUUGAAUAUUGUGGAGGUAAGCGGAAUAUGUCAUGUAGCGGUGAAAUGCUUAGAUAUGACAUAG